CCCUUAGAGUUUGAUCCUGGCUCAGAGCGAACGCUGGCGGCAGGCCUAACACAUGCAAGUCGAACGAACCCUUCGGGGUUAGUGGCGGACGGGUGAGUAACACGUGGGAACGUGCCCUUUGGUUCGGAACAACUCAGGGAAACUUGAGCUAAUACCGGAUGUGCCCUUCGGGGGAAAGAUUUAUCGCCAUUGGAGCGGCCCGCGUCUGAUUAGCUAGUUGGUGAGGUAAAGGCUCACCAAGGCUUCGAUCAGUAGCUGGUCUGAGAGGAUGAUCAGCCACACUGGGACUGAGACACGGCCCAGACUCCUACGGGAGGCAGCAGUGGGGAAUCUUGCGCAAUGGGCGAAAGCCUGACGCAGCCAUGCCGCGUGAAUGAUGAAGGUCUUAGGAUUGUAAAAUUCUUUCACCGGGGACGAUAAUGACGGUACCCGGAGAAGAAGCUCCGGCUAACUUCGUGCCAGCAGCCGCGGUAAUACGAAGGGGGCUAGCGUUGCUCGGAAUUACUGGGCGUAAAGGGAGCGUAGGCGGACAGUUAAGUCAGAGGUGAAAGCCCAGGGCUCAACCUUGGAAUUGCCUUUGAUACUGGCUGUCUUGAGUACGGGAGAGGUGUGUGGAACUCCGAGUGUAGAGGUGAAAUUCGUAGAUAUUCGGAAGAACACCAGUGGCGAAGGCGACACACUGGCCCGUUACUGACGCUGAGGCUCGAAAGCGUGGGGAGCAAACAGGAUUAGAUACCCUGGUAGUCCACGCUGUAAACGAUGAGUGCUAGUUGUCGCAUGCAUGCAUGUCGGUGACGCAGCUACGCAUAAGCACUCGCCUGGGGAGUACGUCGCAGAUAAAC
This 842-nucleotide ribosomal RNA is filed under the name uncultured bacterium. RNAcentral describes it as "bacterial SSU rRNA". It matches the Rfam family "Bacterial small subunit ribosomal RNA", at positions 1 to 900 of the family's 1533-position model. The record is from RNAcentral.